UACGAAGGGUGCGAGCGUUGUUCGGAUUUACUGGGCGUAAAGGGCGCGCAGGCGGCGCAUUUUGUCAGGCGUGAAAGCCCCGGGCUUAACCUGGGAACUGCGUUUGAUACGGAUGGGCUAGAGUUCGGGAGAGGGAAGCGGAAUUCCGGGUGUAGCGGUGAAAUGCGUAGAUAUCCGGAGGAACACCGGUGGCGAAGGCGGCUUCCUGGACCGACACUGACGCUGAGGCGCGAAAGCGUGGGGAGCAAACAGG
This 253-nucleotide ribosomal RNA is filed under the name uncultured bacterium. Its description in RNAcentral is "partial 16S ribosomal RNA". It matches the Rfam family "Bacterial small subunit ribosomal RNA", at positions 524 to 776 of the family's 1533-position model. The record is from RNAcentral.